RNAcentral lists this ribosomal RNA (440 nucleotides) under uncultured bacterium. Its description in RNAcentral is "partial 16S ribosomal RNA". It matches the Rfam family "Bacterial small subunit ribosomal RNA", at positions 338 to 795 of the family's 1533-position model. The record is from RNAcentral.
CCUACGGGAGGCAGCAGUAGGGAAUAUUGCUCAAUGGGGGAAACCCUGACGCAGCAACGCCGCGUGGGGGAUGAAGGUUUUCGGAUCGUAAACCCCUGUUGUUAGAGAAGAUAGUGACGGUAUCUAACGAAUAAUCACCGGCUAACUCCGUGCCAGCAGCCGCGGUAAUACGGAGGGUGCAAGCGGUACUCGGAAUGACUGGGCGGAAAGAGCGCGUAGGCAGGAUAGCAAGUCAGGUGUGAAAUCCUAUGGCUUAACCAUAGAACUGCAUUUGAAACUGUUAUUCUAGAGUAUGUGAGAGGAAGGUGGAAUUCUUGGUGUAGGGGUAAAAUCCGUAGAGAUCAAGAGGAAUACUCAUUGCGAAGGCGACCUGCUAGAACAUAACUGACGCUGAGGCGCGAAAGCGUGGGGAGCAAACAGGAUUAGAUACCCGAGUAGUC